This 1650-nucleotide ribosomal RNA is filed under the name Triticum aestivum (bread wheat). RNAcentral's name for it is "partial small subunit ribosomal RNA". Lineage: Eukaryota; Viridiplantae; Streptophyta; Magnoliopsida; Poales; Poaceae. The record is from RNAcentral.
AUGGGCAAGGAGGACGACGUCUCCCGCGCCGUCGUGGAGGACGACACGGCGCUCCUCCUCGCGGCGGUGGACAGCAUCAAGAAGGCGGCGCUGGGCCGGCUGCGCAACGGCUCCGACGCCGCCAGGAUCCUCGACCAGGAGAUGUCCAACAGGCUCCUCCACCUCGCCUGCAGGCACGACGCCGCCGAGUGCGCCAGGCUCCUCCUCGACGGUGAGUACGGGAUCACGCCGGCCUCCGUCGACGCCAGGGACCAGCUCACGCGUACACCGCUCCACGUCGCCGCCGACGCGCACUCCAAGAGGUGCAUUCAGCUGCUCCUCUCCAGAAACGCCCGGACGGACGUCAGGCUGCUCGACGGCACACGCCUCGUCGCGCUCGAGGUCGCGCUCAUGAGCAGAAGGGUUCAAGUUGAUUGGUCACCGGACAACUCGGUCGAGGAUCUUCUGGCUUAUCUGCAACAAAAGGAUCUGAACGCGGUGAGGCUUCUGGCAGAGAAGACCAGGGAGGUUGGGAAGGUGGCUUAUAGAUACGCCAUGGAGGGGCGUGUCGCUGCACUCGCAAUGCUGCUCCUGGUGGCUGAGGAAAGGAUAUCGGCGAUGAUGAGCGUGGUGAUUGAUGGCGUCAGGACAAAGAGAUCAAUUUACAACUCUGUUGUGGAUGAGGUUCUGUCGAUUGGAGAGGCUUCAGCUAGAGACGGCAAUGAAAUGAGGACGAAAGCCUUGCUCUGUGAGAUUCAGCUGCUUAACCAAUUUGGGGCCACGUCGUGGAGGGACCGAAAAGUUGACAGGAGAAGCUUGCCCCCUCUACUUAGGGCUGCAAAGGCCGGAGAUAUGAAUGUCAAAAAGAUGCUUCUGAUGCGGGAUGUUGAUGUCAAUGAAACUGACCCCGAAGGAAACACGGCACUUCACUGGUGCCUCAGUAGUAGCUCAAGCACACAGGAGCCAAGGAUUGAGUGGCUCCUGCUGAAGAAUGGUGCCAGAGUUUUCCAGGGGAACAAACUAGGUCUCACACCAGUGCACAGUACUGCAGCUAAGGACAAUUACAAGGCUCUUCAGGUAGCCUUGUUACUUCCUUUUCAAGUGCUUAAUGAUACCACUGUGGCUAAUUGGCAUUAUUGUGUUUCUUUGAUCUGCAUGUCACUUCUGCUUCAUGCACAAGAUUGCGUUGAUAUACCUUCCAAGACCAAAGAAACCCCAUUAUUCCUUGCAGCGAAAAAUGGUUCUUUGAGUUGUGUACGACUUCUUUUGCGUUAUGGGGCUAACCCCAAAGCUCAGAACCUACGAAAGCAAAGACCAAUAGAUGUGGCGACAUCCCAGGACAUGCGGUUCCUUCUCAACUCCGCAAAUGUUGUACCAAUGAACCAUGGCUCAAUGGAAAAGAACCAUGCAAUGAAAAAAGAAAGGCACAAAGAGCUUCUGGAUGAUGAUUUCGAUGAUUAUGACAACGACGAUUAUUAUGAAAGCUAUGUUGUGCCAAAGGCGUCAGUAGGUCACGGGGAUUUUCGUUCCAGCAAUUUAUCUACCCAAGGGGCUAAAAGUAAGAGCCACAGUGCCCCGGAAGAUGGUCCCAAAUUAUCUCAGCAUAAUGACCAUUGGGAGAAGCAUGACUACACUCGCAAAAUCUUUGUUGGGGGUCUCCUGCUUACGUAG